CAUGUACCUAUAAUAAUAUAAUCGAUUAAUAUUUUGCACUAAAUGUAUGAAAAUUGUAUUAUGACUUUUGUUACAUACAGGGUAACACUCAAUGGGUUUUGUUUCCAUUUGCAAAUCCCACACUUUCACACUGAGAGAAGAAACUUCUGUUUGUUGGAUCUUCUGGUUCUUCAAAGAGCUUACUAUGUUGGUCACAAAGCGCAGCAGAUCUCAUGUCACAGAGUCUAAUUGUUCCUUUGCUACUACUAUAUACCAAGACGUUACAUUCUGCCGGGUGAAAUUCCGCAGCAGUUAUUACUUCUGUUAGUUCCUCCAUAUUAGUUGGCUUAAUGUCUACUAUAUCUGUGUAUCAUUAUUAAGAAAACGAUAUAGUUCAUUAUAAUAAAUUUAUAUCCAAGAUGUAUAAAUAUAAUUUAGAAUUUGUAAACGAAAAAUAAAAUAAAUAUUAAAUGACAUAGAAAAAAGGAUACUAAAA
Long non-coding RNA from Bombus terrestris (buff-tailed bumblebee), 475 nucleotides. RefSeq lists it as uncharacterized. NCBI's taxonomy places the organism in Eukaryota, Metazoa, Arthropoda, Insecta, Hymenoptera, Apidae. The transcript is spliced from 2 exons. The record is from RefSeq and is a predicted model, not a curated record.